This is a non-coding RNA of Varroa destructor (honeybee mite), 5430 nucleotides long. The record is from RefSeq and is a predicted model, not a curated record. Lineage: Eukaryota; Metazoa; Arthropoda; Arachnida; Mesostigmata; Varroidae.
AGGGGUAAAUGGACACCGUGUUUAUUCAACUACCUUGAAAAUUUUCUUAGAAGCUACAGAACGGACUGCGCAAGGCGCUUAAAAACGUUAUACGUGAGAUACUGUUCAACACAGGAUUGACUGUCGUUACGCCAUGGAUGAAGCGGAACGUGUUAAGAUGGAGCAUCGCGAGAAGCUUAAGUCUGAGGUGCGAAAGCGCCUUGAGGAAGCUUCAAAAAAAAAGAAAGCAUCAGGAUUUCUCACAGCCGAACGCAAGAAAAAGCUAAAGAAGCUCCUUCGUGAGGCGAACCAAGCAGCAGUUCUCCGAGAGUUAGAAAGGAAGACCGUGCUACGAAAGAAGGUGAUCGCAGAGCGCUGUGGCCAACCGGCAGAUUUAGACCGUGUCUUCGAUAUCAAGGAACUUCAAUCGGUUAUGUCAGGAUAUCACGCUCGCAUUGUCGUUUUAGAAGAAGCUAAAUACGACCUUGAAUAUGAAGUUCGUCAGAACGAUUUCAUGCUGAACGAACUUACCAUACAGGUCAACGAGCUGAGAGGAAAAUUCGUUAAACCUGUACUCAAAAAGAUUUCCAAAUUUGACAAGCUGAAAAAGUGCAUCAAAGCGAGCGAUGGUGGAGCUACUGAAAGUUUGCACUUCAGUCGGCAAUCAUUGAAGGCUGUGAAAAAAAAAGUGAAACUCGAGGAGAAAGAUAAGGCAGAAAGGCCUAAAUGGGCCUCACAGAAAUCCUGUCCGGAUGGCGUCACCGAACUGUAAAAUGCGGCAUUAAAAAAGCAAUAUCGAAUAUUAUAAGAACCACUGCGUCAAUAAGGCCCAUUUGAAGCUAAUCGAAGAUCGGCUCGAUCCACGUACGUAUUUUAGAAGUUGGGAAAUGGUUGACAUAUUGUAACAUGUCUUGGCUUGGAAACAGACUAAACAAAAGGCCAAGAUGUUGACCCUCUUUUUCAAGUGACUAUUAGAACACACUGGCUUAGCUUACUCGAACCACGAACGUCGCUGAGAUGUCGGCCUUCCCCGCCGAAAAAUCAAGCUAGGACCUAAUUAAUAGAAGCAGCCGGUUGAUAAAAUGUUAUUUAGGCCAAAACUCGUAGCUGUCGUAUCUUUUCAGCCUCAGAAAAAUAACUCGUCUCUAAGCAGAGUAUUCUGGAAAAGGUUUAAGAGUCUUUUUAUUUUAUAUUUUAGAAUACUAUGACUGUUAUCGACGGUGGUAACAGCAGUACAUGUGUUCGAUACUUGAUUACAUUUUUGGUUGUGACCUUCAACGAUUAAUUCAUUAAUGGUCCAAAACUAUUACCGAUCAAUUACACACUGCAGUACGACAUAUAGUCUAACUUAUUAUGUUAUAUUAGACUCAUAUAAAGAAAUUCGUGCUGAAGGCGCGAGCGAGUCGUGAUUUCACAUAAGUAGGUCUAUCUUGUUGCGUACACGUGUAAAACUAAUUAAAUGCAACCACACCACUUUAGUAGCAGAAAAACACAAUGUAUGUUCCCAUUCAACAGAAUACGAUGGCCUCACAGUGUGAAUUGUUUUCAUUAAUUAAAGUAAUAGACAAUCGGCUGUACUAUGCAAUAGUAAACCCGUCGGCCUAUUGUCCCGGCUAGUCCCGGAAGUCAUGAUGGUAAUAAAAAUAAUAAUGAUCAUUUAAAAUCAAAAUAAAUAGUUUAGUCAAAAAAGUCAAUGUCUUACAAAGUUCAAAAUACGGCAUAUGAAUUAGGACUUCUUCUUAUGCGCUGUGUCUAAAACUAUACCUAAAAAAAACAACCAGAUUAUGCAUUUUUUACGUUUGGUAAAGGCGCCAUUUUUGACAGUCAUGUUUGUCCAAUAUAAUCACCCUUGACCGCCAUUACAGCUUCAAGUCGGGAUCAAAACAACUCAUUUGUUGUUACUCAAAUAUUCCUUUUUUAAUUCGAGAAGGUCUUUUUUUACAGCAAAUGCGCGCCAUACGAUAUUAAAAGGUAUAAACUUGAUUAAUUGUCGUUUAAGUACGCUACAUACAAAAAUUCCAGCGGAGUCAAAUUCUGGGCUAAUCAUAGGCCAAAAGUCCCAGAAAUGCGAGCGCCCAAAAACGUUCAAGAGGUCAAGGAAGGUACGCAUUGGAGCGAACCAAUAGACAAUCGUUCUCUGAGUUGUCGCCUAUUCCUUCUGACGUGCUGUCUAAAACACUCUAAUAAGCUGAUAGACUGUAGCCAUGAGAAGAUUUAGCAGUAACGUAUUUUGCUUACUGAACUUCGAACUAUUUAAUAAUGUCGUCUAUAUUCGUCACAUAUACGCAUAUUGUUUGCUGUCACCUGCGGCAGUGUAUAAUGGGGACGUCACAAACAAUACAUUCAUACUAUCUGCAUGGGAUUGCGUGACUGAUUCAGCUCACAUGCUAGUACCAACCGUCCAUUGUCAAUUAGCUAAGCAUGGUCUAUUUGAAUGUAUCAUAUACUCUAAUCGGGCUGAGGUCCCUUCCUGCAACACCUGUAUCUAUCGAUGUUCAGCUAUAUGUCACAAGUACGGCUCAUCAUCACCAAUGAUUUACUCUCCAAGACUGCGAUUUUACCCUAGCCUUAGAUCACACAAAAAGGCCCUCAGUGAAAACCGAGUAAGGGAAUGUAAAAAUUUAUAUAUUUUGCUUGCGACGUGUAUGCGAAGACCGAAUCAGGUUCUUGUGAGAAAAAUUCUUUUUACAUCACUAAGUUUUUGACGAUGCAAUAUCCUGUAGUAGUGAACCAACAUGACUUUAUGUGGUAACCAUGUCCAACUUUUGUCAAUGAUUUAAUGAUCGCAUGCAGUGUCUUUGAGCUACGAUACCACUGCACGUUUGUGAGUGGCUAAUCUGAUUAGGGGACGAUCUUUCAAAGCAGACAUUUGUGUGCGACAAAAGCCGCCGGGCAUUGUAUGACAUUAGUGUCCGUGAACAGCGCGUCGAAUCAAUAAACUAGGGUAAGGAGUGUUGUAGGUAAAUAGAGUUUUUCGUCUCAUAGUGCAGUCGAGUGCCUAUUCGCAAAGAACUGCUUGAAACAGUCUUACUAACUUGAUAGUAUUCAAAAUGGCGUACUCUUGCUGGCACAGAGGCCUUCAGAAUAGUACAACUAACUCCGUUAGAACCAGGCAAACCUUCAAACUAGACUCGAUUAAUGGUUUUGUGCUAUUAGUUUCAAAGCUGGUUGAAUGGAGAAACUUUAUAUGUGAUACUGCAAUACUGAUUUUGCGUUUAACCAUUAGCGUGUACAGUUACUUAUGUAUACGUCCUACGGCCAAAAUUGCUAUUGGCCAAAAUUCUUAGUAUUUUAUAGGAUAUUUUUACUGUGAUCAGACUCGUUUAUCCUCAUUAACUGAAUAUGGAAGUUCGACUACCAAAGAACUGUUAAAAGUAGGAUUGAUCAUAUGUACUGGAUAAAUGGACACCGUUCUAAGAAUUUCUUCAAAUCAUUCUGAUUCAUACGUUACAUAGUUAGAAGGCUUUAGAAAUAAUUAGAAGACAAGACCUUUAUUAGAUUGUCUAUCUAUUUGUAACAGAGCAGCGGUGGUUAAAAGAGUCAACGAUGCUGGCUACAGUUUGCGUGACUGAAUACUGAUCCAAGUUGUUAUACAACCAUUUUUAUAGCCGAAGACCGUUGGUAAAAAUGGAGUUAAGUAAAAUUAGACUAAUGUCACCCUUAAUAGGAAGUCGGACAGGCGAAGCGAGACCGCUUUACAUUAGCAGCCGAUUCGAACUUCAAAUACGUAAUGGGGAACUGUGUUAGCUGGUUAUGCGAUAUGUGUCCGCUACUGACGCCUAUCUAUGAGCAGAUGGUUGAACUCGGCAGCGCGCUUUGGCAAAAGGUAACGGAAUUCUAUAGGAUGAUACGCAGAGCUCUUGAGGUGUUCUUCUUGGAGCGGACAGAUAUUGCUGUCUGCUUCACUAUCGCAGAAGCUAUCUUUUCGAAGCCUAGAGUUAAUCUCCAUAAUGAAGGCUUCACGUCCACUACGGUGGCUCCGGGGACACGGGCAGAGCUCUGGAAAAAAUCUGGUAAGUGUUUGCUCAACCUUGGUGUGCAGAAUGAGACUUCCACGUGGGACACCACGUUUUUUAAUAAAAGAUCAUGAAUCCUUUAAGACGAAAAGGGAGUUUUUAAAGAAAAAUAAUGGAAUAACGGAACAAACAUGGGAAAAUGGUUCAUUUUUUAUCACCCAGGUCUUUGGCGAUCGUGUCUUUUAACGUGCUCAUGUUAAAUUCUCGCCCAAUUGGUGAUUUAUACCAUAACCCUAAUGGCUUGUAGAAAUGAAGAAAGAAAAUGGCUUUGACGUAUUGUUAAUUUUUUAAGAAGUCAUUUACCAGCGGUAUCAGUAGCUACUAUGAUGACGGAAACAUCCAGCGGUUAAAUCGCAACAUUAGGUACAUCAUUAUAUUAUAUCAGGAGAAUAAUUUAUCGGCCUAUUUGCUUAACUGACUCGUAUAGGGCCUAACGGCCUCCUUGCACUAUCAUUGUUAAUAUCCACUGCAAAAAAAUAGAUAGCAUGAUUCACACUCCCUUUCGUAUUGCAUAGAAAUCAAAGAAGAACAAAUAAAAGGUACAUUUCCCAAACGCGGGUCGGCAAAAUGUUUAUUCAUGAUGGAUACGUCAUUGAUGGGUGAUUGAAAUAAAUAACUCUGACGUGUUUUGUUAUCUUGUUCAACAUAGGAUUUCUGCCGGUGCUAUUUAAACAUUUGGAGAACGUCUCAAUGUCCGGCGGAACCGAAGUUACAGUUGCUGAACUUGAGGCAAUCGGGUGGACCGUCGAUCGAGUGAUUGAAGAAAUAGCAAAUGUUUACAGACGGACACAAAACAGUCAUUUAGUCAAUGGGGGCUGUGUUAACGGCAACAACAGUCUUCAGACGGAACGAUUUUUCCGUUUGUGCGCAGAACGACUGGCGCCAAGCCUCUUUCAAGCUAUGGCAAACAAAGUACAUAGCUUAUGAACUAUAUAUUUAGUCGUAACUCGAGUUCUGAUAUGACUCAGCAUUAGCGAAAUGUCUGUUAAAAGAGGUUUUGUGUGUAAUAUGCGUAAGUGUUGUGUAACUAAAACACAAUAAGCAGUAUAUGAGGGCGUCACUUGCCCAGAUGUAAACGUUAAAAGCAGAUCACCAUUAUGGUUAUGAAGUUCGUUUUUAGGACGAAUUUCAAAAAUGCACGGGAAGUAUCUUACAUCUUAGGGCCAAAAGGACAAACCAGAAAUACUACGGCACGUUAUAAAGGUCGGGUUUUAUAAACUUUUUUUUUUUAUCAUUUGUCGUAUCGGACUUUAAUUGCUUAAGGAAGUGGUAAAAAUCACAACGAAAAAAGGAAGUUAUUGGUAAUAACUGUCCUAAGAAUUAGGACACGAUUGUAUGCAUUUACAUCGCUUAUUGUUGGCGUUUAUUGUAUGUAUUCACAAGUACAAUAGUGAUAAUAUCACUUAAUAAAAAGACCAUGCGUAGGAAGAACAGA